CGUUCUGGAGACGCCCAAUCCGUUGGGGGCCGAAGGUGCAAGGCGAAAGCCAAUCUCUCAGGCAAAAGGACAGAAU
This 76-nucleotide non-coding RNA is filed under the name human gut metagenome. Its description in RNAcentral is "Glycine riboswitch". It matches the Rfam family "Glycine riboswitch aptamer", at positions 9 to 86 of the family's 94-position model. From Rfam's summary of the family: This family represents the bacterial glycine riboswitch. The record is from RNAcentral.